Molecule: ribosomal RNA, 450 nt
Filed under: uncultured bacterium
Lineage: Bacteria
Description: partial 16S ribosomal RNA
Rfam family: Bacterial small subunit ribosomal RNA
Source: RNAcentral
GUGGGGAAUCUUCCGCAAUGGACGAAAGUCUGACGGAGCAACGCCGCGUGAGUGAUGAAGGUCUUCGGAUUGCAAAGCUCUGUUAAUCGGGACGAAAGAGCCUAGUGUGAAUAAUGCUAGGAAGUGACGGUACCGGAAUAGAAAGCCACGGCUAACUACGUGCCAGCAGCCGCGGUAAUACGUAGGUGGCAAGCGUUGUCCGGAAUUAUUGGGCGUAAAGCGCGCGCAGGCGGAUCUGCCAGUCUGUCUUAAAAGUUCGGGGCUUAACCCCGUGAUGGGAUGGAAACUACAGAUCUAGAGUAUCGGAGAGGAAAGUGGAAUUCCUAGUGUAGCGGUGAAAUGCGUAGAUAUUAGGAAGAACACCAGUGGCGAAGGCGACUUUCUGGACGAAAACUGACGCUGAGGCGCGAAAGCCAGGGGAGCGAACGGGAUUAGAAACCCUAGUAGUCC